UCCGGGAUUGUGUAGCUGGUAGCACAUGUGACUCUGGAUCACAGAGCCUAGGUUCGAAUCCUAGUCCCGGAGCCA
RNAcentral lists this transfer RNA (75 nucleotides) under Keratinibaculum paraultunense. RNAcentral's name for it is "tRNA-Gln". It matches the Rfam family "tRNA". From Rfam's summary of the family: Transfer RNA (tRNA) molecules are approximately 80 nucleotides in length. Their secondary structure includes four short double-helical elements and three loops (D, anti-codon, and T loops). Further hydrogen bonds mediate the characteristic L-shaped molecular structure. tRNAs have two regions of fundamental functional importance: the anti-codon, which is responsible for specific mRNA codon recognition, and the 3' end, to which the tRNAs corresponding amino acid is attached (by aminoacyl-tRNA synthetases). tRNAs cope with the degeneracy of the genetic code in two manners: having more than one tRNA (with a specific anti-codon) for a particular amino acid; and 'wobble' base-pairing, i.e. permitting non-standard base-pairing at the 3rd anti-codon position. The record is from RNAcentral. Lineage: Bacteria; Bacillati; Bacillota; Tissierellia; Tissierellales; Tepidimicrobiaceae.